This 222-nucleotide ribosomal RNA is filed under the name uncultured Staphylococcus sp. RNAcentral describes it as "partial 16S ribosomal RNA". It matches the Rfam family "Bacterial small subunit ribosomal RNA", at positions 118 to 334 of the family's 1533-position model. The record is from RNAcentral. Lineage: Bacteria; Bacillati; Bacillota; Bacilli; Caryophanales; Staphylococcaceae.
GGGAUAACCUACCUAUAAGACUGGGAUAACUUCGGGAAACCGGAGCUAAUACCGGAUAAUAUAUUGAACUGCAUGGUUCAAUAGUGAAAGACGGUUUUGCUGUCACUUAUAGAUGGAUCCGCGCCGCAUUAGCUAGUUGGUAAGGUAACGGCUUACCAAGGCAACGAUGCGUAGCCGACCUGAGAGGGUGAUCGGCCACACUGGAACUGAGACACGGUCCAG